Molecule: ribosomal RNA, 449 nt
Filed under: uncultured bacterium
Lineage: Bacteria
Description: bacterial SSU rRNA
Rfam family: Bacterial small subunit ribosomal RNA
Source: RNAcentral
ACGGUGAGGGAAGAAGGCCAUGGGNGUAAACCUCUUUUUUCAGGGAGGAACAAAAUGAGUGUACCUGAAGAAUAAGCAUCGGCUAACUCCGUGCCAGCAGCCGCGGUAAGACGGAGGAUGCAAGUGUUAUCCGGAAUUACUGGGCGUAAAGCGUCUGUAGGUGGUUUAAUAAGUCAACUGUUAAAUCUUGAAGCUUAACUUCAAAACAGCAGUCGAAACUAUUAAACUAGAGUAUAGUAGAGGUAAAGGGAAUUUCCAGUGGAGCGGUGAAAUGCGUAGAUAUUGGAAAGAACACCGAUGGCGAAAGCACUUUACUGGGCUAUUACUAACACUCAGAGACGAAAGCUAGGGUAGCAAAUGGGAUUAGAUACCCCAGUAGUCCUAGCUGUAAACAAUGGAUACUAGAUGUUGAACAGAUCGACCUGUGCAGUAUUAAAGCUAACGCGAUA